AACAGGAUUAGAUACCCUGGUAGUCCACGCCCUAAACGAUGUCUACUAGUUGUCGGGUCUUAAUUGACUUGGUAACGCAGCUAACGCGUGAAGUAGACCGCCUGGGGAGUACGGUCGCAAGAUUAAAACUCAAAGGAAUUGACGGGGACCCGCACAAGCGGUGGAUGAUGUGGAUUAAUUCGAUGCAACGCGAAAAACCUUACCUACCCUUGACAUGUCAGGAACCUCCGAGAGAUUGGAGGGUGCCCGAAAGGGAGCCUGAACACAGGUGCUGCAUGGCUGUCGUCAGCUCGUGUCGUGAGAUGUUGGGUUAAGUCCCGCAACGAGCGCAACCCUUGUCAUUAGUUGCUACGAAAGGGCACUCUAAUGAGACUGCCGGUGACAAACCGGAGGAAGGUGGGGAUGACGUCAAGUCCUCAUGGCCCUUAUGGGUAGGGCUUCACACGUCAUACAAUGGUACAUACAGAGGGCCGCCAACCCGCGAGGGGGAGCUAAUCCCAGAAAGUGUAUCGUAGUCCGGAUCGCAGUCUGCAACUCGACUGCGUGAAGUUGGAAUCGCUAGUAAUCGCGGAUCAGCAUGUCGCGGUGAAUACGUUCCCGGGUCUUGUACACACCGCCCGUCACACCAUGGGAGCGGGUUUUACCAGAAGUAGGUAGCUUAACCGCAAGGAGGGCGCUUACCACGGUAGGAUUCGUGACUGGGGUGAAGUCGUAACAAGGUAACC
RNAcentral lists this ribosomal RNA (725 nucleotides) under uncultured bacterium. RNAcentral's name for it is "bacterial SSU rRNA". It matches the Rfam family "Bacterial small subunit ribosomal RNA", at positions 771 to 1501 of the family's 1533-position model. The record is from RNAcentral.